This 447-nucleotide ribosomal RNA is filed under the name uncultured bacterium. Its description in RNAcentral is "bacterial SSU rRNA". It matches the Rfam family "Bacterial small subunit ribosomal RNA", at positions 328 to 792 of the family's 1533-position model. The record is from RNAcentral.
UUGCCAGACUCCUACGGGAGGCAGCAGUGGGGGAUAUUGCACAAUGGGGGAAACCCUGAUGCAGCGACGCCGCGUGUGGGAAGACGGUCUACUGGAUUGUAAACCCCUGUCCCCAGGGACGAAAAUGACGGUACCUGGGGAGGAAGCUCCGGCUAACUACGUGCCAGCAGCCGCGGUAAUACGUAGGGAGCAAGCGUUGUCCGGAAUUACUGGGUGUAAAGGGAGCGUAGGCGGGGAUGCAAGUUGGGUGUCAAAACUACCGGCUCAACCGAUAGUCGCACUCAAAACUGCAACUCUUGAGUGAAGGAGAGGCAGGCGGAAUUCCUAGUGUAGCGGUGAAAUGCGUAGAUAUUAGGAGGAACACCAGUGGCGAAGGCGGCCUACUGGACGGUGACUGACGCUGAGGCUCGAAAGCGUGGGGAGCAAACAGGAUUAGAUACCCGUGUA